CAUUGAAACACUGAUUCCCAUACAAACACCGAAGUUAAGCAACAUUGAGUUUGAUCAGUACCUGGAUGGGUGACCACUUGG
Molecule: non-coding RNA, 81 nt
Organism: Acanthosepion pharaonis
Lineage: Eukaryota; Metazoa; Mollusca; Cephalopoda; Sepiida; Sepiidae
Source: the annotation of a GenBank genome assembly